Molecule: long non-coding RNA, 1650 nt
Filed under: Homo sapiens (human)
Lineage: Eukaryota; Metazoa; Chordata; Mammalia; Primates; Hominidae
Description: HSALNT0386285
Source: RNAcentral
AGAAAUAAGAGCUCCUGAGACCCUGCUGGAUACAAAUGCCCUGUACGACCUAAGGGCCUCCACAGCAGGAACAAAAGGAAUUUUGUCUGAGAUUUUAGCAGAAAAGUAAUUUUUGAAAUCUAUUCUUGGAUUUAGACGUUUAUUGGAUUUCAAAGCUUCUUGCUGCCCAGGAGCUUGUGAAUACGGUCAAAGGUCCAUGAAAUUUCCAAAGUGGUACCACAGCAGAUGAACCUGAAUGCAAACUGGAGGGACCAACAGAGUCCAGCCUAUAGACAUAAAUCCUUAACUACACCUAGAUCUCACUGUCUUUUCCAAUGGUCAAAAGAGGGGCUCUUGAAAUGGCUCCAUUGUUUUAUAGAAACAAGGUCUUCCUAAGAAGUCUUUUUCUCCUAUCUUUUUCUUACCCAAAAUAAAGGAAUGGCCCAAAACCUCAAGCCAAGCUUACCAGCUAUAAACAACUUGGUGGUCAGCAGCCAAAAGAAGAGUGGACAUGCCAUGGUCAUGUGGCACGUACCCUAUACAAGCUUCACAGAGAAGAAUGGAAGCACUUGAUUGUAAGACAGAGGGUGAGAUGUGAGAGGAAUAUUAACCUUCACUUUCCACAGGCAUUUUUUUCUGCAAAUGGCACCAGCUUUUGGACUUAAAAUUUUAUUCCAAAUACUAUUUAGAUGCAUCAGGGCCCUCAAAAUAUGGAUUUCAAGUUGGAGACAUCAAAGUGCAUUAUUUACUAAAACCACUGCAGCUUUUUUCCCCUCUCCUUUCACAAGAUGCUAUUGUAAAUUCAGGCUGCUUUAAUCUCUGUGAUUAAAAAAAAAAAGGAAGAAAGAAAAAAAAAGUGCUGCUUGAAGAGGAACUGAACUCACAAUCUGGGAGCUAGAAAGUAAAUAUUACCCAGAGAGUACCUCACUUUAAUUACUGGCCUGAACAUUGGUUUCAAUUUACAUGUAUUUUAAUUAGCCACAGAAGGGUUCACCUAUUACUCUCUGAAUACAAAACUUAAAAAGCAAACAGAAAAUAGGGAAAGAAAGGCUUAUUUAAGGGCCUCCAAGGAUUAAUCUUUGCAUUCUUCUCAUUUUUUCCCCGAAUUUGGGGAUAAAAUUUGUCGCAGGGAAUUUGAUCUUAGGGAAACAUUGAGUUUGGUUUGUGAACACAAGCUACUUCUGAACACUAUUUUAGCAAACAGAAUUUUAGAAGCAUAAGGCUCUAGCAGAGGGCUAUACAGAAUUUUGCAUAAACUAAAUAACAACCGUUUCCUCCUGAAAUGCAGGAAAUCAAGCUGCACGGUCCUUAGGUCUUCAGCAAAGCUUGGACCACUUGGCAAAGUCUUCUGUCUCCAGAGGAAUGAUGGGAAAACUAUGGGACAAAAGUCAGGAGAGUGGUGCUGGCUGAUCCUGGCCUGGACAUUGACUCCCUGGGGACUUUGGUGCUCUCUCGUGCUCUCUCUGUCUCCAGUGAUAAGCUGACCAGAUGCCUUGAAUUAAGUACAGUAUGCAGCAAUGCCAGCCCUGGACUUUUCCCCAACCUAUCACCCAACCCACUUACCUGGAGCCAAGGGUCACCAACAUCUCUAAUAGAAUCCAACUGUGGAAUAGAAAAACUAUUUCGUCUAAGAAGUGGAUCCUAGCUGUCAAAUAAAAAAUCGCUGUUGAA